ACUACCUAACUAGAGGUUAUCUUGAAAUUACAAAUCUCACCCCUAUUUUAAGAAUAUAAACUUACUAAGAAAAUUAAUUUUUAUAUCUACAAGAUAGUAGAUUUUAUCGAAAUAAUAACAAAGUGUGAAAGUGAAUAGUACUGUAAAAGAAAGUAGAAAUAACAUUUUAAAUAUAUAAAAGUAAAUAUUAAAAGUUGUAUCUCGUGUAUUAUAGGAUAUCAAAAUUAUAUCUACAAAUAUCCAUCCCGAAAAAAAGAUAGCUAAUUUUAAGAAAAAGUUUUUGUAGCAACAAAAUUUUAAACUUAACAUUAGAGGUGAUAUGCCAGUCGAGCUUUUAUAUCUGGUUUUCUAAAAAAUAAAUUUAAUUUAUGCGCUUAGCUAACUAGUUAUGCGAUUAAGAAGAUAAGGGUAGAGCUUUUUCUUCAAAAAUGUAAAACUACAGAACCUAAUAAUAAACAUUUAUAAAAAUAGGCUUAAUAGUAGCCACUUUUUCUAGGUUUUUCAACCAAUAUAAACUUAUAUUCUAAAUUUUAUCGGUUCUUCGUUAUAAGUAUUAGAAAAUAAAUUUUAACUACAAAUAUAUAGUUAUUCUGAAAUCAUUAGUAAAAUUUAAUAUAUUUAUAAAAAUUUUUUUAUAAAUAAAACUUAUAAAAAAUAACAAAUUUGUUUAAGGAACUCGGCAAAAUUUAUCACCGCCUGUUUAACAAAAACAUGUCUUUGUGAAGAUUUACACAGUCUGGCCUGCCCACUGAAUUAUUAAAGGGCCGCGGUAUCUCUGACCGUGCGAAGGUAGCAUAAUCAUUAGUCUUUUAAUUGGAGGCUUGUAUGAAGGGUCGAACGAGUGAUAAACUGUCUUAACAAAAAAUAUUGAAAUUAACUUUAAAGUGAAAAGGCUUUAAUGUCUUAGAAAGACGAUAAGACCCUAUAAAUCUUUACACUACAUUUAGUAUUAAGCCAAUUUAUUUGUUUAAGGAAAAAUACUAAAAAAGCGUUUUGUUGGGGCAACAAAGAUAUAAAUUAAAUAACUGUUUUUCUUUACACACAAAAAUUCUUGAAAUAUAUUGAUCCUCUCUAGAGAUUAAAAGAUUAAGUUACUUUAGGGAUAACAGCGUUAUUUUUCUUGAGAGUCCUCAUCGAAAGAAAAGUUUGCGACCUCGAUGUUGAAUUAAAAUUUCUUCCUAGUGCAGCAGCUAUGAGAGAAAGUCUGUUCGACUUUUAAAAUUUUACAUGAUUUGAGUUCAGACCGGCGUAAGCCAGGUCGGUUUCUAUCUUCUAAGAAGUAAUAAACUAUUUUAGUACGAAAGGAUUAAAUAGUUAAAAUAAUUUUACCAACUUGAAUAACACUUUUGCCUAAGCACACUACGCAUUUCAAUUAAAUGAAAA
RNAcentral lists this ribosomal RNA (1383 nucleotides) under Coenobita perlatus. RNAcentral's name for it is "16S ribosomal RNA". The stretch from base 902 to 1278 matches the Rfam family "Bacterial large subunit ribosomal RNA", at positions 2070 to 2650 of the family's 2925-position model. The record is from RNAcentral. Lineage: Eukaryota; Metazoa; Arthropoda; Malacostraca; Decapoda; Coenobitidae.